This 485-nucleotide ribosomal RNA is filed under the name Klebsiella pneumoniae. RNAcentral's name for it is "partial 23S ribosomal RNA". It matches the Rfam family "Bacterial large subunit ribosomal RNA", at positions 2259 to 2743 of the family's 2925-position model. Lineage: Bacteria; Pseudomonadati; Pseudomonadota; Gammaproteobacteria; Enterobacterales; Enterobacteriaceae. The record is from RNAcentral.
UGGUGGGUAGUUUGACUGGGGCGGUCUCCUCCCAAAGCGUAACGGAGGAGCACGAAGGUUAGCUAAUCCUGGUCGGACAUCAGGAGGUUAGUGCAAUGGCAUAAGCUAGCUUGACUGCGAGCGUGACGGCGCGAGCAGGUGCGAAAGCAGGUCAUAGUGAUCCGGUGGUUCUGAAUGGAAGGGCCAUCGCUCAACGGAUAAAAGGUACUCCGGGGAUAACAGGCUGAUACCGCCCAAGAGUUCAUAUCGACGGCGGUGUUUGGCACCUCGAUGUCGGCUCAUCACAUCCUGGGGCUGAAGUAGGUCCCAAGGGUAUGGCUGUUCGCCAUUUAAAGUGGUACGCGAGCUGGGUUUAGAACGUCGUGAGACAGUUCGGUCCCUAUCUGCCGUGGGCGCUGGAGAAUUGAGGGGGGCUGCUCCUAGUACGAGAGGACCGGAGUGGACGCAUCACUGGUGUUCGGGUUGUCAUGCCAAUGGCACUGCCC